Molecule: ribosomal RNA, 461 nt
Filed under: uncultured bacterium
Lineage: Bacteria
Description: bacterial SSU rRNA
Rfam family: Bacterial small subunit ribosomal RNA
Source: RNAcentral
UCCUACGGGAGGCAGCAGUGAGGAAUAUUGGACAAUGGUCGGAAGACUGAUCCAGCCAUGCCGCGUGAAGGCUAAGGUCCUAUGGAUUGUAAACUUCUUUUGUACGAGAGGAAUUAGACGGACGUGUCCGUCGACGACAGUAUCGUACGAAUAAGCAUCGGCUAACUCCGUGCCAGCAGCCGCGGUAAUACGGAGGAUGCGAGCGUUAUCCGGAUUCAUUGGGUUUAAAGGGUGCGCAGGCGGACGAUUAAGUCAGCGGUGAAAAGUAUGCGCUCAACGCAUAUCGUGCCGUUGAAACUGGUUGACUAGGAUACGUAUGCUGUGGGAGGAAUGUGUAGUGUAGCGGUGAAAUGCAUAGAUAUUACACAGAACACCGAUUGCGAAGGCAUCUCACAAAUACGUCAUUGACGCUGAGGCACGAAAGUGCGGGGAUCAAACAGGAUUAGAUACCCUGGUAGUCC